UACGAAGGGGGCGAGCGUUGUUCGGAAUUACUGGGCGUAAAGGGCGCGUAGGCGGCGAACCAAGUCAGAUGUGAAAGUCCUGGGCUUAACCUGGGGACUGCAUUUGAUACUGGUUUGCUUGAAUUCGGGAGAGGAUAGCGGAAUUCCCAGUGUAGAGGUGAAAUUCGUAGAUAUUGGGAAGAACACCGGCGGCGAAGGCGGCUAUCUGGACCGACAUUGACGCUGAGGCGCGAAAGCGUGGGGAGCAAACAGG
Molecule: ribosomal RNA, 253 nt
Filed under: uncultured bacterium
Lineage: Bacteria
Description: partial 16S ribosomal RNA
Rfam family: Bacterial small subunit ribosomal RNA
Source: RNAcentral